Molecule: ribosomal RNA, 245 nt
Filed under: uncultured bacterium
Lineage: Bacteria
Description: partial 16S ribosomal RNA
Rfam family: Bacterial small subunit ribosomal RNA
Source: RNAcentral
GAUCCUGGCUCAGAUUGAACGCUGGCGGCAGGCCUAACACAUGCAAGUCGAACGGUAACAGAAAGCAGCUUGCUGCUUUGCUGACGAGUGGCGGACGGGUGAGUAAUGUCUGGGAAACUGCCUGAUGGAGGGGGAUAACUACUGGAAACGGUAGCUAAUACCGCAUAACGUCGCAAGACCAAAAGAGGGGGGACCCUUAGGGCCUCUUGCCAUCGGAUGUGCCCAGAUGGGAUUAGCUAGUAGGG